UCCUGGUGAUAUUUCGGUUCUAAACUAUACCGCUUUUCUGUUGAUAAAUAAUCUAGACUAUUUAUAUGGUUCAAUUUAGGUUUAUUUGGUUUUGUUCUGAUUUUACUUUAAUUAUGGUAUGGUUUGGAAUAUUAAAUAAAUCUGUUUUGUAAACACUGUGUAUUUAUAAAAAUAAUUUUCUACCCCUCAUGGUAACUCGUUUUCAAAGAAAAUAAAAGAUUUUCGUGUAGGAGACAGCUUUAAAAAGAUUUUCUCAGCUUUUCAUAAUUUUAGUAUUUCAAAAAUGAGUUUCUAGGUGGAAAAUAUUUUUAACUAAUAGUUGUGGAAUGUUGUGAAUCUUGUGAAUGUACAGUUGUGAAUGGAUGUAGUUGUGACUUGUACUAUGUGAGACGCCGUACAAAUACAGGAAAGAUUUUAUACACGUGGGCAGUGAAUUUUCUAUAUUUAUGGCAUGUCUGUCAUCCCUUGUGUCAAGAUUUUAGAAAAAAAAAAAAAAAACCUGGGGCAUUUUUU
Molecule: long non-coding RNA, 513 nt
Filed under: Ananas comosus (pineapple)
Lineage: Eukaryota; Viridiplantae; Streptophyta; Magnoliopsida; Poales; Bromeliaceae
Description: long non-coding RNA (ACOM_LNC002119)
Source: RNAcentral